ACACAACACAAACUCUUACAGAUGCUACCAGAAGAAAACUGGUUAAUAUAAUAGUGGCCCACAUGUUUGAUAAAUACGGUUAAAUGUGUUGUAUUUGUGUACACUCUUUCAAAAAAAAAAAGAAAAACAAGUAACUGCUUAGCCAUUAUAUAAAUAAUGCCAAUUUAAUCUCUCUUCUCAGGCACCUCCCCACCAAAGCUGUUAGAGAAGAGUACGCUCUUGGGAUAGUGACAGUGUUCCCGUCCCUCAAAGACCCACACUCCAAGAAAGGCUACGAACACUUCUAUGAUGCUGCAAGCAGCACAGGAUACAUUUCUUGGCGUCUGAAGACAAUCCAGAGAAAGAUUCGACGAGGAUCUGCACCUCCAAAUAGCUGCACUGGCUUUUCUCGAGGAGGAGGGGGCCCUAAUUUCCAAAGAUCCAUUGUUGUUGAGAAGCAGCUUUACGGAGAUGCUUGCCAGGAGGCCAUCUCUUUGCUCAACCAUACAACAGACACUUCCUUAAUUCUCCAAAAGAUGAGAGAGACCUUUCAGUAUCGUCAGAACCUUAUCAAUGACCCUGACAAAAGUCUUGAUAUCCUGUCUAUCUUUCCAAGAUUCCUGGAUACAAAAGG
Long non-coding RNA from Amphiprion ocellaris (clown anemonefish), 613 nucleotides. RefSeq lists it as uncharacterized. The transcript is spliced from 3 exons. The record is from RefSeq and is a predicted model, not a curated record. NCBI's taxonomy places the organism in Eukaryota, Metazoa, Chordata, Actinopteri, Pomacentridae.